RNAcentral lists this ribosomal RNA (207 nucleotides) under uncultured bacterium. RNAcentral describes it as "partial 16S ribosomal RNA". It matches the Rfam family "Bacterial small subunit ribosomal RNA", at positions 568 to 774 of the family's 1533-position model. The record is from RNAcentral.
CGCGUAGGCGGCCUUUCAAGUCAGGUGUGAAAUCCCGGGGCUCAACCCCCGAAGAACAUUUGAUACUGUGAGGCUUGAGUAUGGGAGAGGGAAGUGGAAUUCCUGGUGUAGCGGUGAAAUGCGUAGAUAUCAGGAGGAACACCGGUGGCGAAGGCGGCUUCCUGGACCAAUACUGACGCUGAGGCGCGAAGGCGUGGGGAGCAAACA